RNAcentral lists this ribosomal RNA (380 nucleotides) under Unionicola arcuata. RNAcentral's name for it is "partial 12S ribosomal RNA". The record is from RNAcentral. Lineage: Eukaryota; Metazoa; Arthropoda; Arachnida; Trombidiformes; Unionicolidae.
AAACUAGGAUUAGAUACCCUUUUAUGAUGCGUAAAGGUAUUAUGUGAUAUUCUUUAAACCUAAGGAUUCUGGCGGUCUCUUUUCUUUUCAGAGGGGCUUGCUUUGUAAUCGAUGGUCCUCGUUUAUUUUUUCUUUUUCUUUUAGUUUAUAUACCUCCGUUUGAAGAUGAAUAUUAGUUUUUCUCUCUUUUUAAGUUGUUAUUAAAUUCAGGUCAAGGUUUAGCUUAUGGAUGAGAUAAAGUUAGCCAUGUGUUUUUGUUUUUUUUUUAAUGAAGUUUUUAGGAUUUGUUGGUAAAGUUUUAGUAGAUUUUAAACUUGAAUUAGCUAAAAGGUAUGCACAUAUCGCCCGUCACUCUUUAUAAGAUAAGUCGUAACAUAGUA